GACAGGAUGGCCGAGUGGUUAAGGCGGCAGUUUUGAAUGCAUAUCGCAUAGGUGUUAUAAACCACAUUAGCUGCUUCACUUUGUGAGCGUGAGUUCAAACCUCACUCCUGUCG
Non-coding RNA from Melampsora americana, 113 nucleotides. The record is from the annotation of a GenBank genome assembly. Lineage: Eukaryota; Fungi; Basidiomycota; Pucciniomycetes; Pucciniales; Melampsoraceae.